This 267-nucleotide ribosomal RNA is filed under the name uncultured bacterium. RNAcentral's name for it is "partial 16S ribosomal RNA". It matches the Rfam family "Bacterial small subunit ribosomal RNA", at positions 793 to 1055 of the family's 1533-position model. The record is from RNAcentral.
GUCCUGGCAGUAAACGGUGCGCGUUUGGUGUGGGAGGAUUCGACCCCUUCCGUGCCGGAGCUAACGCGUUAAACGCGCCGCCUGGGGAGUACGGUCGCAAGAUUAAAACUCAAAGAAAUUGACGGGGGCCCGCACAAGCGGUGGAGUAUGUGGCUUAAUUCGAUGCAACGCGAAGAACCUUACCUAGCCUUGACAUGCAUCUCUAAGUCGGCGAAAGCCGGCUACUGUAGCAAUACAGGAUUUGCACAGGUGCUGCAUGGCUGUCGU